Molecule: non-coding RNA, 26 nt
Filed under: Rattus norvegicus (Norway rat)
Lineage: Eukaryota; Metazoa; Chordata; Mammalia; Rodentia; Muridae
Source: RNAcentral
UGUUUCUACACAAAACUCUCUUACCU